Molecule: ribosomal RNA, 1187 nt
Filed under: uncultured Basidiomycota
Lineage: Eukaryota; Fungi; Basidiomycota
Description: eukaryotic LSU rRNA
Rfam family: Eukaryotic large subunit ribosomal RNA (bases 753-1187)
Source: RNAcentral
CUUGGUCAUUUAGAGGAAGUAAAAGUCGUAACAAGGUUUCCGUAGGUGAACCUGCGGAAGGAUCAUUAUUGAAAAUCUGUAGUUGAGCUGGCUUCUAACGAGGCAUGUGCUUGCUACUAACCUUCAUCCACCUGUGCACAUUUUGUAGGAAAGACAGGAUUCUUUUCAAAGUAAGAGGAACUUAUGGCUCACGCCAUUAUUCUUUUUGAAACGAAAGGUCUUCUUCUAUCCUAUGUUUUUACACACACAAAUUGAAUGUUUAGAAUGUCUACUUUCGAAAGAGCGUAAAAACUCUUUUAAAAAACAUAAUACAACUUUCAGCAACGGAUCUCUUGGCUCUCGCAUCGAUGAAGAACGCAGCGAAAUGCGAUAAGUAAUGUGAAUUGCAGAAUUCAGUGAAUCAUCGAAUCUUUGAACGCACCUUGCGCCUCUUGGUAUUCCGAGAGGCAUGCCUGUUUGAGUGUCAUUAAAUUCUCAACUUCUAUAGUUUUAUUACUAUCGAAGCUUGGAUGUGGAGGUUUUUUGCUGGCUUUUAUUAGUCGGCUCCUCUUAAAUGUAUUAGUGGAGACUGUUUGUGGUCCACAAUUAGUGUGAUAAUUAUCUACGCUACUUAUGGUUCUGCACACUUUGUAGUGUUUCGAUUGGGAAGUUGCAUAAAUUUUUAUGCUCUUUCUGCUUCAAAUGAAACCUACUUAUGAGUGAAGUCGUUCUGCUUCUAACCGUCUUCUUUGCAAGACAAUUUCUUGACUUUUUGACCUCAAAUCAGGUAGGACUACCCGCUGAACUUAAGCAUAUCAAUAAGCGGAGGAAAAGAAACUAACAAGGAUUCCCCUAGUAACUGCGAGUGAAGAGGGAAAAGCUCAAAUUUAAAAUCUGGCAGCCUCAGGUUGUCCGAGUUGUAAUUUAGAGAAGUGUUACCCGUGCUGGACCGUGUACAAGUCUCCUGGAAUGGAGCGUCAUAGAGGGUGAGAAUCCCGUCUUUGACACGGACUACCAGUGCAUUGUGGUGCGCUCUCGAAGAGUCGCGUUGUUUGGGAAUGCAGCGCAAAAUGGGUGGUAAAUUCCAUCUAAAGCUAAAUAUUGGCGAGAGACCGAUAGCGAACAAGUACCGUGAGGGAAAGAUGAAAAGAACUUUGGAAAGAGAGUUAAACAGUACGUGAAAUUGCUGAAAGGGAAACGCUUGAAGU